UGGGGAAUAUUGCACAAUGGGCGCAAGCCUGAUGCAGCAACGCCGCGUGAGGGACGACGGCCUUCGGGUUGUAAACCUCUUUUAGUAGGGAAGAAGCGAAAGUGACGGUACCUGCAGAAAAAGCGCCGGCUAACUACGUGCCAGCAGCCGCGGUAAUACGUAGGGCGCGAGCGUUAUCCGGAAUUAUUGGGCGUAAAGAGCUCGUAGGCGGUUUGUCACGUCUGCUGUGAAAACUGGAGGCUCAACCUCCAGCCUGCAGUGGGUACGGGCAGACUAGAGUGCGGUAGGGGAGAUUGGAAUUCCUGGUGUAGCGGUGGAAUGCGCAGAUAUCAGGAGGAACACCGAUGGCGAAGGCAGAUCUCUGGGCCGUAACUGACGCUGAGGAGCGAAAGCAUGGGGAGCGAACAGG
RNAcentral lists this ribosomal RNA (409 nucleotides) under uncultured bacterium. RNAcentral's name for it is "bacterial SSU rRNA". It matches the Rfam family "Bacterial small subunit ribosomal RNA", at positions 355 to 776 of the family's 1533-position model. The record is from RNAcentral.